This 2212-nucleotide long non-coding RNA is filed under the name Salmo salar (Atlantic salmon). RNAcentral's name for it is "lncRNA (ENSSSAG00000118295.1)". The record is from RNAcentral. Lineage: Eukaryota; Metazoa; Chordata; Actinopteri; Salmoniformes; Salmonidae.
CUACAUCUAGUCACUGGGCUCUGUCAUAUCCUCAUAUGGUCUCUCCUAUCAUUGCAAUGCGGAUAACACUCAACUACCUUUGUCUUUCCUCCCUUGUGAGACACAGGUGGAAAAAUGCAUCUCCGGUUGACUGGCAGAUAUCUCAGCUUGGAUGUCGGCCCACCACCUCAAGCUCAGCAAAACGGAACUGCUCUUCUUCCAGGGAAGGCCUUCCCGCUCCAAGACAUCUCCAUAAUGGUUGACAACUCCACGGUGUCCCCCGCCCAGAGUGCAAAGAACCUUGGUGUGACCCAGGACCACACCCUGUUCUCUGAUAACAUCACAGGAAGCUGCGCAGGUCCUAAUCCGGGCACUUGUCUCCCGUCUGAACUAGUGCAACUCGCUGUUGGCUGGGCUCCUCACUUGUGUCAUCAAACCCCUGCAACUUAUCCAGAACGCUGCAGCCCACCUGGUGUUAAACAUUCCCAAGUGCUCCCAUGUCACCCUGCUUGUCUGCACAAUCCACUGACUUCCAGUUGAAGAACAAGGGCACUAGCUACUAGCCCUUAUGACUCCAGUGCUGUAUGGCCUUGGGUUCUUGGGAGCUAGAGCACUACUAUCUGAAAGCUUUUUAUUUAAGUACACUAUGCAGUGAGUUCCAGAUGUGGCUGGAAGAGUGGUGACGGACAACAGUCGAGGGCAUCUUCACUCAGUAGUGAGCACGUAGGAGCUCAUCUUCAUGGAGCAGCUGGAGUUCAUCUAUACAAAGGACACUGGCAGUUCGAGGUCCUAUGCUUCGGCCUGUGCAAUGCUCCAGCUACUUUUGAGUGUUUGAUGGACAGGGUGCUGGAUGGCAUUCCCUGACAGUGUCUGGUAUACCUCAACGACAUCAUGGCCCAUGGCAGCUCCUUCCAGUCAGCCCUGCGGGCACUACACAGCGUGAGCUGGAGAGGGUGGCUGCCGCAGGCCUGAAGCUCCACCCAGAGAAGUGCCCCUUCAUGAUGGGAGAGGUGUCCUUCUUGGGCCACUGAGGGUAUCAGCACCAUGGAGGACAAAGUGGGGGCUGUCUGAGACUGGCCCUCCCCCACCAAUCAGCAACAGCUGAAGAGCGUCCUGGGCCUGGCCUCUUACUACAGGAGGUUUGUACGGGGCUUCUCAAGCAUCGCUGCUCCCCUGAACCGCCUGCUGCCGAAGGACAAGGCCUUCACUUAGACAGUGGCGUGCAAGGAGGCCUUCAACACCCUCAAACAUGCACUGAUCAAGGCCCCUGUGCUCGCCCCCCCCAACCUCACCUUGCCCUUUAUCCUGGACACAGAUGUGAGCAGUGGGGCCAGAGGGGGAGAGUGGUGGCGUACUUCAGCAAAACAUUCAACAAACAUAAGUGCCACUACUGUGUCACCCGGCGGGAGCACCUCGCUCUUGUGGCUUCCAUCAAACACUUCAAGUACUACCUGGGUGGCCUGCCCUUUACAGUAAGGACUGACCACUCUCCUCUCCAGUGGCUCAUGUGUUUCAAAGAGCCAGAGGAGAAGAUUGCACGCUGGUUGGAAGAGCUUCAGCCGUACGACUUCAUAGCGGUGCACAAGGCAGGGGAACGCCAUUCCGACACCAUGUCCUGUCGGCCCUGUACUGCAGACGGGUGCAGCCACUGAGUGGAGACUGUGUCAGGCGAGCAGGCUUGUGAGCUGUAGACUGAUGUGGCUGAAUGGGAUCAGCAGCAGGGACUGGACACAGACCUACAGCCAGUAAUGAAGUGGGCAGAAGUGCAGCUGAGGCCACUGUGGGAAGAUGUGGCUGAUGGCGCUCUACAGCUGGCAUGGAAGGAGCCAGCUAUGGGUGAGGAUAGGUGGCAGGUGGUGGUCCCAAAAGCACUGUGGGAUACUGUGCUCCAGGGCACUCAUGGGGGGUGGGGAUUGGACACUUUGGGGUCCCAAAAACACUCCGCUGUCUCCGUUGGAUUUUACUGGGGGCAGCACAUGUGGAGGACUUUGCCGCCGCUGUGACAACUGCACAGCGAGAAAGGGCCCUGCAGGCCGUUCAUAUCAGCUCAACAGUUCCCAGUUGGGGCUCCCAUGGAGCGGGUGGAUGUGGUUGGGCUGUCCCCACCACACAGUGGAAACCACUGGGUGUUCACGGCCAUGGACGAUUUCACAAAAUGGCCCGAGGCCUAUGCUUUGCCUUACCAGGAGGCAGAGACCAUCGUUGAUGAACUAACAGCAGUGAUGUUCAGCAG